GGAUUGUAGCUCAGUGGUAGAGCACUUGUCUAGCAUGUGUGAGGCCCUGGGUUCAAUCCUCAGUACCA
This 68-nucleotide transfer RNA is filed under the name Marmota monax (woodchuck). Its description in RNAcentral is "tRNA.Ala". Lineage: Eukaryota; Metazoa; Chordata; Mammalia; Rodentia; Sciuridae. The record is from RNAcentral.